Molecule: long non-coding RNA, 1398 nt
Filed under: Rhinopithecus bieti (black snub-nosed monkey)
Lineage: Eukaryota; Metazoa; Chordata; Mammalia; Primates; Cercopithecidae
Description: lncRNA (ENSRBIG00000045760.1)
Source: RNAcentral
UUUGGCUCGGGUAAAUCGGCAGACAACUCAAAAGGGUCACAGUGCAUCUUUAAUAAAACUUCUCAUGCAAGACAAGCGAUAAAGAAGAGCCACAGAACCUCAGUUUCGGUAACGACUGCCGGUGGCCAGGGAGGCAGACUUCCCCCAGAGUCUCUCGCCUCCUGAGCAGCGCUGGGACUGCCCCUAGCUGCCCCUCCGUAGUGUGGGGCAGGAAAAAGCAGACACUUACCGCAAAAGACACCGCUAACGCCGUGGCCCUAAGGGGCCGGGAAUUCCUUAGCGAGGCCCCACGCCGUGGAAAGAAACCCAAAAAAGCUGGGAGCAGACAGACAGGUAUGACCCCACAACCCAACUUCCCGAACUAAAAGUAGGGUCCCAACGCCCAGCACCGCGUUGCCAACUCCCACCAGCUGGAAAACCGACGAGUGCCACCGAACCUUCCGCCCAAUGAGGAAACGUCAGCACUCCGCGUAGUCCAGCCUUUCUAGAGGAGGAUGCGCUUCCGCUUCCGGGGCACACCGCCGCGUUUUUUCUGCGCGGCUCCUGUAACAGUUUAGAUGUUUAUUUGCAUCGACUGGCUUUUGGUUUCAGUUUUCUACCGCUGAAUAACUGCAGUAGUAAAGUUAGUGGUAAAAAUAGGAGGCUGUCUAGGGAUGUAAUUUCAGGGGAGAAGUCAGGCUUCGACGAUCCACCUUAAGAAAAGUGAUUAGGCGGAGCACUCCCAGCUAAGCGCGUAAAGAUGAGAGAUGGAGGUGUGACUGCAGGCAGGGAUUCCCGGGCGCACGAGAGACCUCCGUAGAGGGGUGGAACUUAGGGCUUCGCAGACUAGAGGCGGGUUCCGCGGAGGGUGGGGCGGUCUCUCCCUGCGCAUGCACAAUGCCAACCAGUGCCUGCGAGUCUUGCUCGUACAACGUAAAAUUUCCCACCGCGAAGCAGGUAGUGAUGCUGCGGCGGCUUCGCACUGUGGUUGCUGCCGACCGCCAGGCGCUGCUACAGUGGAUGCGAACUACCUAUGCAGCAGCAGCCGGAACCCACAGUUCACCUUGGUGCAUUCCUUUAUGAUGAAGACUUAUUGAUUCAUUAUAUGAGAAAGGAAAAAUGAGCAGAAACUACUGUAUGAUGUGCAGCUCACACCAGACAGCACCUUUAGGUAGGCCCUUAGGUGUGCAAAUCUGAUGACUUUAUGUGUAUUUUUUCUUACAAGUCAUGAGUAUGCAGUUUGGACUAAGCUAUUCAGUGUUUUCUGAAAGCAAAAGGCCAACCUGUGGCAUGGUUAUUACCAAAUACUGCAGUUAGGGAGGGUAAACGAAUAUUAGGAGAAUAGGUAGAUCACUUAAUGUCCCCCAGGAUAUAUUUAGAAACUUUUUUGUUGUUGUUGUUGUUUUGUUUUGUUUUUUG